UACGAAGGGGGCGAGCGUUGUUCGGAAUUACUGGGCGUAAAGGGCGCGCAGGCGGUCCUUCAAGUCAGAUGUGAAAGCCCCGGGCUCAACCUGGGAACAGCAUUUGAGACUGGAGGACUUGAGGACGGGAGAGGAGAGUGGAAUUCCCAGUGUAGAGGUGAAAUUCGUAGAUAUCAGGAGGAACACCAAUAGCGAAGGCAGCUCGCUGGGACGUUACUGACACUGAGGCGCGCAAGCGUGGGGAGCGAACAGG
Molecule: ribosomal RNA, 253 nt
Filed under: uncultured bacterium
Lineage: Bacteria
Description: partial 16S ribosomal RNA
Rfam family: Bacterial small subunit ribosomal RNA
Source: RNAcentral